GUUAGAACACCGGUUCCUGUACGAUCACCGAAGUUAAGCAAUGUCAAUACGUGUCAGUAGCAAGAUGGGUGACCGCAUGGGAAUAUGGUAUGCUGUAAG
Acanthosepion pharaonis is the source of this 99-nucleotide non-coding RNA. The record is from the annotation of a GenBank genome assembly. Lineage: Eukaryota; Metazoa; Mollusca; Cephalopoda; Sepiida; Sepiidae.